CAAACUGAAGAUGGCAACCGGCGCACGGGUGAGUAACACGUAUCCAACCUGCCGAUAACUCCGGAAUAGCCUUUCGAAAGAAAGAUUAAUACCGGAUGGCAUACGAAUAUCGCAUGAUAUUUUUAUUAAAGAAUUUCGGUUAUCGAUGGGGAUGCGUUCCAUUAGUUUGUUGGCGGGGUAACGGCCCACCAAGACUACGACGGAUAGGGGUUCUGAGAGGAAGGUCCCCCACAUUGGAACUGAGACACGGUCCAA
Molecule: ribosomal RNA, 255 nt
Filed under: uncultured bacterium
Lineage: Bacteria
Description: partial 16S ribosomal RNA
Rfam family: Bacterial small subunit ribosomal RNA
Source: RNAcentral